GGCAAGAUGACCGAGCGGUCUAAGGUGCUGCAUUCAAGUGAUUCCUCACUUACCCGGUUUCCAAACCAGGUCGUACUGCAGUCUCGAAAGAGGCAGGGGUUCGAAUCCCCUUCUUGUCA
Molecule: transfer RNA, 119 nt
Organism: Aspergillus carbonarius ITEM 5010
Lineage: Eukaryota; Fungi; Ascomycota; Eurotiomycetes; Eurotiales; Aspergillaceae
Rfam family: tRNA
About the family: Transfer RNA (tRNA) molecules are approximately 80 nucleotides in length. Their secondary structure includes four short double-helical elements and three loops (D, anti-codon, and T loops). Further hydrogen bonds mediate the characteristic L-shaped molecular structure. tRNAs have two regions of fundamental functional importance: the anti-codon, which is responsible for specific mRNA codon recognition, and the 3' end, to which the tRNAs corresponding amino acid is attached (by aminoacyl-tRNA synthetases). tRNAs cope with the degeneracy of the genetic code in two manners: having more than one tRNA (with a specific anti-codon) for a particular amino acid; and 'wobble' base-pairing, i.e. permitting non-standard base-pairing at the 3rd anti-codon position.
Source: Rfam